Molecule: ribosomal RNA, 254 nt
Filed under: uncultured bacterium
Lineage: Bacteria
Description: partial 16S ribosomal RNA
Rfam family: Bacterial small subunit ribosomal RNA
Source: RNAcentral
UACGUAGGGGGCGAGCGUUGUCCGAAGUUACUGGGCGUAAAGGGCGCGUAGGCGGCCACCGCAAGUCAGUUGUGAAAGCUCUGGGCUUAACCCAGAAAGGUCAGCUGAUACUGCGGGGCUAGAGUGCAGAAGGGGCAACUGGAAUUCUCGGUGUAGCGGUGAAAUGCGUAGAUAUUGGAAGGAGCAUCAGUGGCGAAGGCGACUUUCUGGACAGAUACUGACACUGAGGCACGAAAGCGUGGGGAGCAAACAGG